AAGUCGUAACAAGGUUUCCGUAGGUGAACCUGCGGAAGGAUCAUUAUAAAAUUUUCAUAUAUUAAAAUUCAUUUAAUAUAUAAAAUUAAUAUACAAAAUGUAUUCAAAACCCACACACUUUAUAACCAAAAAAAAAAUAUAUAUUUUAAUAUAUAUUAUAUAUAAAAAACAACUUUCAACAACGGAUCUCUUGGCUCUC
This is an unclassified non-coding RNA of 199 nucleotides. The stretch from base 1 to 46 matches the Rfam family "Eukaryotic small subunit ribosomal RNA", at positions 1786 to 1831 of the family's 1831-position model.